Molecule: long non-coding RNA, 2078 nt
Filed under: Homo sapiens (human)
Lineage: Eukaryota; Metazoa; Chordata; Mammalia; Primates; Hominidae
Description: HSALNT0323317
Source: RNAcentral
GUUGCUAAGUGUGUUCAUCUCAAAUCUAAAAGCCACUUUCAUAACAACAACUUUGCUAUUCCUUAGCAUUUUGUCUCUUUAGGCAGCUUAUUUCCCAGUCAAAGUUAUAAUUUUGUAUUCAUAAUACCAUAAUCAUUUCCAUGGUAACUUCCUGUGAAGUCACAGAGAAAACACUAUUGACUUCUCCUGAGGCUCUGAUUUCCCAGUUGAAAUCAUAUGUUGAUUUUAUUUUUUCCAAUGUAAGUCAAAGAUUUACUAUUAAAAAUCCUGGGGAUGAGGUCUUAACACAGAAAACCCAUCUGUCGUCGCUACAGAGGACUACUAUGAAGAAAGCGCCUGGCAUAAUCUUGGCACAUCGAAGGCAUUCAAAAAAUACCAGUCGUCUCUCUUCACUCCCUCUAACUCUAACUCAUUUUAACCUCAUUUAAACUUUGAGGAAAAAGAACUCAAGGGAAAGACAGAAGAGAGAAAAAAAGAAAAGAGAAAGCAGAAAUGUGGGUUUUGCUGCAAAGAAAUACCAAAAUUGUUUCCAAUCAGUCAAAGUGAAUCAUCUGUCUACCAACAUGCCUCAUUUUUCAUUGUCUAUAGCUUCCAGAGGCUGCCUGCAUCACUUGCCUUGGGGCCCCUUCCUCCAUCUUCAACAGGAGGUUGAGUUCCUCAUCACAUAACAUCACUCGGACCUUGUCUUCUGCCUCGCUAUUCCACUUCUAAAAGCCCCAGUGAUUACACUGGACUCAUCCAAAUAACCCAGGAUCAUCAUCUCCUCUCCAGGUCAGCUGAUUAGCAACCUUAACUCUUUGCCAUGUAAUAACACACGGCUCUGGGGAUUAGGAUGUAAACAUCUUGAGGGGAGGGAAAGGGAAUGACACAUUAGUCUGCCUACUGCAGCAUGGAAUCAUCCAUCAGUACACUUUCUAUUUUAUUUUUCAUACAGACUCACAGACAUAUACCACACCCAUACCCAAAAGUUUUUUAGAUUUCCCUGCCCUAAUUUGAUAAUUCUAGACUAAUUCUAAUGAAUACUUCCACAAGUGUCUCCUAUAAUUUUGUAAUGUUAGAAUUUUACUUUAAAAAAACAAAAAAAAUUCUGUUCUUCGAAAAACAAACAAACAAACAAACAAAUUCCAGAUGGUUCCAAGAGUGCAAACCUGAAAACAGCUUAACCUGAUUUAUUUUUUUAAAAAAAGGCAUGACAGUCUCACCAGGAAAGAGCUCUUUUAGUUUACAGGGUUUGAUACGUAAUAUAAUCAUACUUAAGAGUUUUGUUUUGCUUUUUGUUUUCUGUUUUGAGACAGGAUCUUGUUCUGCGGCCCAGGCUGGAGUGCAGUGGCUUGUGGAAAACUGAACUCAUCUUUAUAAUUCCUUUUUUAUUGAGACUUACCUAGAAUAAUUAACAUUUGAAUUUAAUUAAAAACAGUUCUUUUGUCAAACUUAACCCAAUUCUCCAAUACUUUUGUAGGUCACCUUCUUUAAUAACAAUCAGAGGAAGAAUUUUCUGACUCUUCAAAACAGCAAUCUAAAUAUAAUACUUUAUUGUACAACACAUGAUGUCUUUUUUUUUGUGUCCCAAAUUGUGUUCCUUAGAACACCUGGAAACAUAAAUUGGUAUACCACCCCCCCACCCAAAAAAAAAACCUAUUCGGUGGCCACAUACAUUUGGAAAAGGACGUAUACCAUGCCUCUCUUUUAGAGGGUCACAAUGCAUACUAAGUGUUAAAAGUCCUCUAACUUUGUUUAACAUCACUGUUUUCAGAACGUUUUCCUAACAUCCCUAUAAAUAACCUGGGCUGAGGCAAGAAAGUGAGAAGUGAAUACUAAUGUAGAGCAUAUCUCCACAGAGUAUUACUCAUGAGUAAGCCCCACAGCUUACUCAUCACAACUGGGAACAAAACCAGCCCCACUUUAUGCUCCUGAGAGUAUACGACGGAUGAAAGGCAUUUCAAAUAUCAAAUGUCAAAUCAAUGCCAAAUUGCAACUACAAUUAAAAUCUACUUGAAACAACACAAAUAUGAAAAGGCUCCUGCUGUCUCUAAUUGUAUUUACAUGAGUGGGUCCUUUAAAAAACAAUGCUUGGCCAG